Molecule: transfer RNA, 98 nt
Filed under: Helianthus annuus (common sunflower)
Lineage: Eukaryota; Viridiplantae; Streptophyta; Magnoliopsida; Asterales; Asteraceae
Also listed under: 1 other name
Description: tRNA HanXRQr2_Chr17g0812061
Rfam family: tRNA (bases 8-87)
About the family: Transfer RNA (tRNA) molecules are approximately 80 nucleotides in length. Their secondary structure includes four short double-helical elements and three loops (D, anti-codon, and T loops).
Source: RNAcentral
CGAGCAAGCCGCUAUGGUGAAAUCGGUAGACACGCUGCUCUUAGGAAGCAGUGCUAGAGCAUCUCGGUUCGAGUCCGAGUGGCGGCAUGCCAUCUUCU